Molecule: ribosomal RNA, 283 nt
Filed under: uncultured Bacteroidota bacterium
Lineage: Bacteria; Pseudomonadati; Bacteroidota
Description: uncultured Bacteroidetes bacterium partial 16S ribosomal RNA
Rfam family: Bacterial small subunit ribosomal RNA
Source: RNAcentral
UCGAGGGGCAGCAUAAUGGAUAGCAAUAUCUAUGGUGGCGACCGGCGCACGGGUGCGUAACGCGUAUGCAACCUACCUUUAACAGGGGGAUAAUCCGAAGAAAUUUGGUCUAAUACCCCAUAAUAUUGAAUAAGGCAUCUUAGUCAGUUGAAAGUUCCGACGGUUAAAGAUGGGCAUGCGUUGUAUUAGCUAGUUGGUGAGGUAACGGCUCACCAAGGCUACGAUACAUAGGGGGACUGAGAGGUUUUCCCCCACACUGGUACUGAGACACGGACCAGACUCC